UACGUAGGGUCCGAGCGUUGUCCGGAAUUACUGGGCGUAAAGAGCUCGUAGGUGGUUUGUCGCGUUGUUCGUGAAAACUCACAGCUCAACUGUGGGCGUGCGGGCGAUACGGGCAGACUUGAGUACUGCAGGGGAGACUGGAAUUCCUGGUGUAGCGGUGAAAUGCGCAGAUAUCAGGAAGAACACCCGUGGCUAAGGCGGCUCUCUAGUACGGUACUGACGCUGAGACGCGAAAGCGUGGGGAGCGAACAGG
RNAcentral lists this ribosomal RNA (253 nucleotides) under uncultured bacterium. RNAcentral's name for it is "partial 16S ribosomal RNA". It matches the Rfam family "Bacterial small subunit ribosomal RNA", at positions 524 to 776 of the family's 1533-position model. The record is from RNAcentral.